GGUCAAGCGAACAAGUGCAUGUGGUGGAUGCCUUGGCGAUCACAGGCGAUGAAGGACGCGGUAGCCUGCGAAAAGCCCCGGGGAGCUGGCAAACAAGCUUUGAUCCGGGGAUGUCCGAAUGGGGAAACCCACUCCUUUUGGAGUAUCCAUGACUGAAUACAUAGGUCAUGUGAAGCGAACGCGGUGAACUGAAACAUCUAAGUAACCGCAGGAAAAGAAAUCAACCGAGAUUCCCAAAGUAGUGGCGAGCGAAAUGGGAUGAGCCUUGUACUCUUUAUUUGUAUUGUUAGCCGAACGCUCUGGAAAGUGCGGCCAUAGCAGGUGAUAGCCCUGUAGGCGAAAACAGUAUGAAAGAACUAGGUGUACGACAAGUAGGGCGGGACACGUGAAAUCCUGUCUGAAGAUGGGGGGACCAUCCUCCAAGGCUAAAUACUCGUGAUCGACCGAUAGUGAACCAGUACCGUGAGGGAAAGGCGAAAAGAACCCCGGGAGGGGAGUGAAAUAGAUCCUGAAACCGCAUGCAUACAAACAGUCGGAGCCUCGUAAGGGGUGACGGCGUACCUUUUGUAUAAUGGGUCAGCGACUUACGUUCAGUAGCAAGCUUAACCGUAUAGGGCAGGCGUAGCGAAAGCGAGUCCGAAUAGGGCGUUCAGUUGCUGGGCGUAGACCCGAAACCAGGUGAUCUAUCCAUGGCCAGGAUGAAGGUGCGGUAACACGUACUGGAGGUCCGAACCCACUAACGUUGAAAAGUUAGGGGAUGAGCUGUGGAUAGGGGUGAAAGGCUAAACAAACCUGGAAAUAGCUGGUUCUCUCCGAAAACUAUUUAGGUAGUGCCUCGUGUCUCACCUUCGGGGGUAGAGCACUGUCAUGGUUGGGGGGUCUAUUGCAGAUUACCCCGCCAUAGCAAACUCCGAAUACCGAAGAGUGCAAUCACGGGAGACAGACAUCGGGUGCUAACGUCCGGUGUCAAGAGGGAAACAACCCAGACCGCCAGCUAAGGUCCCCAAAUAUGGCUAAGUGGGAAACGAAGUGGGAAGGCUAAAACAGUCAGGAGGUUGGCUUAGAAGCAGCCACCCUUUAAAGAAAGCGUAAUAGCUCACUGAUCGAGUCGUCCUGCGCGGAAGAUGUAACGGGGCUAAGCCAUAUACCGAAGCUGCGGAUGCGUGCUUGCACGCAUGGUAGGAGAGCGUUCCGUAAGCCUGCGAAGGUGCCUUGUAAAGGGUGCUGGAGGUAUCGGAAGUGCGAAUGCUGACAUGAGUAGCGAUAAAGGGGGUGAAAGGCCCCCUCGCCGUAAGCCCAAGGUUUCCUACGCAACGUUCAUCGGCGUAGGGUGAGUCGGCCCCUAAGGCGAGGCAGAAAUGCGUAGCUGAUGGGAAGCAGGUCAAUAUUCCUGCACCAUUGUUAGAUGCGAUGGGGGGACGGAUCGCGGAAGGUUGUCCGGGUGUUGGACGUCCCGGUCGCUGCAUUGGAGAAGGCGCUUAGGCAAAUCCGGGCGCAGGAUUCAAGGGUGUGGCGCGAGCGACUUCGGUCGCGAAGCAAUUGGAAGUGGUUCCAAGAAAAGCCUCUAAGCUUCAGUCUAACGAUGACCGUACCGCAAACCGACACAGGUGGGCGAGAUGAGUAUUCUAAGGCGCUUGAGAGAACUCGGGAGAAGGAACUCGGCAAAUUGGUACCGUAACUUCGGGAUAAGGUACGCCCUUGUAGCUUGAC
Molecule: ribosomal RNA, 1710 nt
Filed under: Burkholderia multivorans
Lineage: Bacteria; Pseudomonadati; Pseudomonadota; Betaproteobacteria; Burkholderiales; Burkholderiaceae
Description: partial 23S ribosomal RNA
Rfam family: Bacterial large subunit ribosomal RNA
Source: RNAcentral